Molecule: ribosomal RNA, 304 nt
Filed under: uncultured bacterium
Lineage: Bacteria
Description: partial 16S ribosomal RNA
Rfam family: Bacterial small subunit ribosomal RNA
Source: RNAcentral
CAGCAGCAGCCACGGUAAUGCGAAGGGGGCUAGCGUUGUUCGGAUUUACUGGGCGUAAAGGGUGCGUAGGCGGAUUGUUAAGUCAGGGGUGAAACCCCGAGGCUCAACCUCGGGACUGCCUUUGAUACUGGCGAUCUUGAGUCCGGGAGAGGUGAGUGGAACUGCGAGUGUAGAGGUGAAAUUCGUAGAUAUUCGCAAGAACACCGGUGGCGAAGGCGGCUCACUGGCCCGGUACUGACGCUGAGGCACGAAAGCGUGGGGAGCAAACAGGAUUAGAUACCCCAGUAGUUCCUGUCUCUUAUAC